This 1424-nucleotide ribosomal RNA is filed under the name uncultured bacterium. RNAcentral describes it as "16S ribosomal RNA". It matches the Rfam family "Bacterial small subunit ribosomal RNA". The record is from RNAcentral.
ACACAUGCAGUCGAGGGGUACGUGAAGCAAGCUUGCUUGCUUUGACGACGACCGGCGCACGGGUGAGUAACGCGUAUCCAACCUGCCCCUUACUACGGGACAGCCCGGCGAAAGUCGGAUUAAUACCGUAUGUGGUGUGAAGAGGGCAUCUGACUUACACUAAAGAUUCGUCGGUAAGGGAUGGGGAUGCGUCCGAUUAGGUUGUCGGCGGGGUAACGGCCCACCGAGCCUUCGAUCGGUAGGGGUUCUGAGAGGAAGGUCCCCCACACUGGAACUGAGACACGGUCCAGACUCCUACGGGAGGCAGCAGUGAGGAAUAUUGGUCAAUGGGCGAGAGCCUGAAGCCAGCCAAGGCAGCGUGAGGGACAGACUGCCCUAUGGCGUUCGUAAACCUCUUUAGUCUGGGAAUAAAGUUGGCGACGUGUCGCCUUUUGUAGGUACCAGAAGAAUAAGGACCGGCUAAUUCCGUGCCAGCAGCCGCGGUAAUACGGAAGGUCCGGGCGUUAUUCGGAUUUAUUGGGUUUAAAGGGAGCGCAGGGCCGGGGCCCUGGUUUUAAGCGGCCAGUUAAAGGCGGUGGCUCAACCAUCGUUAGCUGUCCGACACUGAUAGGACCUGGAGUACGUGCGAGGCUAUGCGGAAUUCGUGGUGUAGGGGUGAUUCAAUGCCUUAGAUAUCACGAAGAACCCCGAUUGCGAAGGCAGCAUACCAGUGCGCCACUGAACCGCUAAAGCUCGAAAGCGCGGGUAUCGAACAGGAUUAGAUACCGUUGGGUAGGUCAGCGGGGUCGCAAAAUGACUUAGGAUGCCCGCUGUGCGGCCUUUUAUGGUUGCGCGGCCAAGCGAAAGCGUUAAGCAUCCCACCUGGGGAGUACGCCGGCAACGGUGAAACUCAAAGGAAUUGACGGGGGCCCGCACAAGCGGAGGAACAUGUGGUUUAAUUCGAUGAUACGCGAGGAACCUUACCCGGGCUUGAAUUGCAGCUGCAUGGGGCAGAGAUGUCCCUUCCGCUUCGGGGCUGCUGUGAAGGUGCUGCAUGGUUGUCGUCAGCUCGUGCCGUGAGGUGUCGGCUUAAGUGCCAUAACGAGCGCAACCCCCCUCCCCGGUUGCCAUCGGGUAAUGCCGGGCACUCCGAGGACACUGCCACCGCAAGGUGUGAGGAAGGUGGGGAUGACGUCAAAUCAGCACGGCCCUUACGUCCGGGGCUACACACGUGUUACAAUGGCAGGCACAGAGAGCUGGCGCGUCGCAAGACGCGUCGAAUCCUUAAAUCCUGCCUCAGUUCGGACUGGGGUCUGCAACCCGACCCCACGAAGCUGGAUUCGCUAGUAAUCGCGCAUCAGCCAUGGCGCGGUGAAUACGUUCCCGGGCCUUGUACACACCGCCCGUCAAGCCAUGAAAGCCGGGGGCGCCUGAAGUCCGUGACC